GCCUUGAUAGCUCAGUUGGUAGAGCAAUGGAUUGAAGCUCCAUGUGUCGGCAGUUCGACUCUGUCUUAAGGCA
Molecule: transfer RNA, 73 nt
Filed under: Streptococcus sp. UMB1385
Lineage: Bacteria; Bacillati; Bacillota; Bacilli; Lactobacillales; Streptococcaceae
Description: tRNA-Phe
Rfam family: tRNA
About the family: Transfer RNA (tRNA) molecules are approximately 80 nucleotides in length. Their secondary structure includes four short double-helical elements and three loops (D, anti-codon, and T loops).
Source: RNAcentral